GAUGAACGCUGGCGGCGUGCUUAACACAUGCAAGUCGAACGGAAAGGCUCCUGCUUGCAGGGGUACUCGAGUGGCGAACGGGUGAGUAACACGUGGGUGAUCUGCCCUGCACUUCGGGAUAAGCCUGGGAAACUGGGUCUAAUACCGGAUAGGACCACAUUUUGGAUGGUGUGGUGGAAAGUUUUUCGGUGUGGGAUGAGCUCGCGGCCUAUCAGCUUGUUGGUGGGGUAAUGGCCUACCAAGGCGUCGACGGGUAGCCGGCCUGAGAGGGUGUACGGCCACAUUGGGACUGAGAUACGGCCCAGGCUCCUACGGGAGGCAGCAGUGGGGAAUAUUGCACAACGGGCGCAAGCCUGCUGCAGCGACGCCGCGUGGGGGAUGACGGCCUUCGGGUUGUAAACUCCUUUCGCUAGGGACGAAGCGCAAGUGACGGUACCUGGAGAAGAAGCACCGGCUAACUACGUG
RNAcentral lists this ribosomal RNA (465 nucleotides) under uncultured bacterium. Its description in RNAcentral is "partial 16S ribosomal RNA". It matches the Rfam family "Bacterial small subunit ribosomal RNA", at positions 28 to 507 of the family's 1533-position model. The record is from RNAcentral.